CUGGAAAUAAUCCUUCCUUUUGUUUUGACUUCCUUGGCCCGCCCCCUUUCUGCCUUUAAAAAAACCUUCCAUUUUUGUACAGAGCCUCGGAGCUCCUUUCUGUUAGCUGGAAAGGAUGCUGCUUGGUUCAUGAAUCAUGGAAUGAAGUCAGUUAGGGCUUGAAAUCUACUCAAUUUGUUUCUGAACCCGUUUUGGCUUUCUUUCUCUGAAAGGUAAAGAGCCUCUUGCAGGACGUGGCGCUUCUGAAUAUGCCCCUCACAACCCCCCAAAGCCACCGAUCGCCAGCAGAAGCAAGCAGCAAAGUGGCAGGAUUACUCUUCCUUCUGAAUGAGGGGUGCUACAACCCAGAAGCGAGGCCCUGGCACCCCUAAAGGAAAGCAAAGUAAGGUUCGCUGCUGCCCGGCCCCGGCCCGCCGGCCGCGUGGCGAGUUCGAGGCCCGAGUCCGCUAGCCCCGCGGCCGCUGACACCUGCAGCCCCGAGCCCGGGAGAUGGUGUCCCAGUCGGCGGGCGGGCCCGAGGCCCCCGGGGAGGCCCGCGGGAGGGCCGGCAGGGGCCCCGGCGACCCGGGCGGCCCGCGCAGCUCCCCGCACCUCGAGCGGCCCCGCUGCGCGCCCGACGCCAGGCUGCGGAGGCACAGGGCCGCCUGGGUGCAGCCGCCGCCCGCGCAGCGCCCGGGGCCCGACUCGCCCUCCGCGGGGGCCCCGGGGCGCCGGCCGGCCUGUCCCCGGGGCAAGGGGGGCCCGGAGCCCCGGGAGCUGCCCCCCGCCCCGCCUGCGCCCCGGACCCAGGGCGGCGCUGCUCCGCCGCCUCCAGCGCAGGAAGGUGCUGUGCAAGGAAGAACCUUGAAUCCCUUCUCACCAGAGGCAUUCCUGCUCCCUGUCGAUGUUGAAAAGGAAAACGCCCACUUCUACGUUGCGGAUAUGAUUAUAGCGGCAAUGGAGAAGAUCAAGUACGCCAUCCUGAGUCAGCAGCACCCAGACCCCUGGGGUGAGGAAGAGGCCAGGGGGGCACCCGGCAGUGGUCACGCUGAUGCUGAGACGACCUUCUAUAGCAACAUGAAGCAAGGAUCUGGGUCUUCCAACUCUUCUGACAGCGGCUAUGAAGGUUGUGCUAUGUUACAGGGCAGCCCGGUGGCUGGGACACCCACUUACGGUGACGUUCUCAAAGAAGCCUGUAAAUGUGACUUUGAUGACUUUGUUGUCGUAGAACUUGGUGAGUUUAGCAAUAUCACAGAAACCUGUGGAUGCUCCUGCAGCUCUUCCAAGAGUAUCGUUUAUGAGCCAGACUUCAAUUCCGCUGAGCUAAUAGCCAAAGAGUUGUACCGAGUAUUCCAGAAGUGCUGGAUGUGGUCAGAAGUUCAUCAUCAGCUGGAAGGUUCUCCCAAUGCCGCUGGCUCCAUAGUUGUAAAUGAAGAACGUGUCCGGAAAGACUUUGAAUCCAGUGUGGAUGUGGUUCAGGAAAUUAAACUUCAGUCGAAGAUCAGAGAGGCUGAAGACUGGGAGCCCCCCCGAUUUCAAAUCAUAUUUGAUGUUCAUCCACCACUCAAGAGGGAUCUCGUGGUAGCAGCCCAGAACUUUCUGUGUGCUGGCUGUGGCACGCCGAUAGAACCCAAGUUCGUGAGGCGCCUGCGGUACUGCGACUACCUGGGCAAGUAUUUCUGUGACUGCUGCCACACCUACGCAGACUCCUGCAUCCCGGCCCGGAUCCUGAGCACGUGGGACUUCAGGAGGUACUACGUCAGCAACUUCUCCAAGCGCCUGCUGGACAGCGUGUGGCACCAGCCCAUUUUCAAUUUGCUGAGCGCAGGCCACAGCCUGUACGCCAAGGCCAAGGAGCUGGACCGAGCCAGGGAAAUCCAGGAGCAACUUUUUCAGAUCAAGAAGCUGUUGAAGACCUGCAGGUUUGCUGAAAGCGCAGUAAAGGCAUUUGAGCAGGUGCCGAGGCACUUGACCGACGAUCUCCACCUGUUCUCUCUGGAGGACCUGGUCAGGGUCAAGAAGAGGCUGCUGGUGCCCUUGCUCAAGGACAUUCUCAAAGCUUCCCUUGCACAUGUGGCCAGCUGUGAGCUGUGUCAAGGAAAGGGCUUCAUCUGCGAAUUUUGCCAGAGUACAGCCGUCAUCUUCCCAUUUCAGACCGAAACGUGUAGACGAUGUGCAGGGUGCAGAGCUUGCUUUCACAAGCAGUGCUUCCAGUCCUCCGAGUGCCCCCGGUGUGCCAGGAUCACAGCCAGGAGAAGACUUCUGGAAAGUUUACCCUCUGCAGCAACAUGAGCCCCUGACCACGGUGGAAAAGACUGUUCAACAUGCCUUAUAACACCGAUUUGUGUCGAUUAUUGACAAUCGUGUUUCAG
RNAcentral lists this long non-coding RNA (2351 nucleotides) under Canis lupus familiaris (dog). RNAcentral's name for it is "rubicon like autophagy enhancer (ENSCAFG00000004480.5)". The record is from RNAcentral. Lineage: Eukaryota; Metazoa; Chordata; Mammalia; Carnivora; Canidae.